AUACGGAGGAUCCGAGCGUUAUCCGGAUUUAUUGGGUUUAAAGGGAGCGUAGGUGGACAGUUAAGUCAGUUGUGAAAGUUUGCGGCUCAACCGUAAAAUUGCAGUUGAUACUGGUUGUCUUGAGUACAGUAGAGGUGGGCGGAAUUCGUGGUGUAGCGGUGAAAUGCUUAGAUAUCACGAAGAACUCCGAUUGCGAAGGCAGCUCACUGGACUGCAACUGACACUGAUGCUCGAAAGCGUGGGUAUCAAACAGGAUUAGAUACCCUGGUAGUCCACACAGUAAACGAUGAAUACUCGCUGUUUGCGAUAUACAGUAAGCGGCCAAGCGAAAGCAUUAAGUAUUCCACCUGGGGAGUACGCCGGCAACGGUGAAACUCAAAUGAAUUGACGGGG
RNAcentral lists this ribosomal RNA (393 nucleotides) under uncultured bacterium. Its description in RNAcentral is "partial 16S ribosomal RNA". It matches the Rfam family "Bacterial small subunit ribosomal RNA", at positions 523 to 918 of the family's 1533-position model. The record is from RNAcentral.